Molecule: long non-coding RNA, 490 nt
Organism: Oreochromis aureus
Lineage: Eukaryota; Metazoa; Chordata; Actinopteri; Cichliformes; Cichlidae
Exons: 3
Source: RefSeq, a predicted model, not a curated record
UGGAAAUGGAGAAAUGGAAAGACAAACGCAUUAAGCGGAAAGGUGUGUACGUGUCACCGUUAGUGACCGAACUGCCACUGAAGAAAAAGAAAACUGAGAUAAAAGGGAAGACCACUGUUCAAACGUUUAAACAGGAACAGCACAAACAACAUGAUGCUCGUCAAAACCAGGAUGAGAGCCAGGAACAAAUAGCCGUUUGCCAAAAAAUAGCAACAUACAUGGCUAAUAAAGUGUCGGUCACAGUAUGGAAAGGAGAUUUAUGUGACUUCAAAGUGGAUGCAAUUGUGAAUGCAGCUAAUGAAAGUCUCUCUCACAUGGGUGGACUUGCAAAGGCACUGUCUGCUACUGGAGGACGUACUAUCCAAGCAGAGAGUGAUGUCUUCAUUGCCAAAAAUGGCAAAUUAAAGGCUGGACAAGUUGCAGUUACCACAGCAGGCAAACUACCUUGCAUGAAGCUGAUUCAUUUGGUAGGCCCGUGUCUGCAGAAUGA